GUACGCGAGCUGGGUUCAGAACGUCGUGAGACAGUUCGGUCCCUAUCCGUCGUGGGCGUAGGAAAUUUGAGAGGAGCUGUCCUUAGUACGAGAGGACCGGGAUGGACAUACCUCUGGUGUACCAGUUGUCGUGCCAACGGCAUAGCUGGGUAGCUAUGUGUGGACGGGAUAAGUGCUGAAAGCAUCUAAGCAUGAAGCCCCCCUCAAGAUGAGAUUUCCCAACUUCGGUUAUAAGAUCCCUCAAAGAUGAUGAGGUUAAUAGGUUCGAGGUGGAAGCAUGGUGACAUGUGGAGCUGACGAAUACUAAUCGAUCGAAGACUUAAUCAA
RNAcentral lists this ribosomal RNA (327 nucleotides) under Staphylococcus aureus. RNAcentral's name for it is "partial 23S ribosomal RNA". It matches the Rfam family "Bacterial large subunit ribosomal RNA", at positions 2596 to 2925 of the family's 2925-position model. The record is from RNAcentral. Lineage: Bacteria; Bacillati; Bacillota; Bacilli; Caryophanales; Staphylococcaceae.